GUGUGGUUCAGCAGGCUAAGCCUCUGUGCAUGUGAUCAGAAGGUUGCUGGAUUGAGCCCUGACAGAACAUUCACAUGUCUGUACAGAUGGGGGCAGUGUGUGGUUCAGCAGGCUAAGCCUCUGUGCAUGUGAUCAGAAGGUUGCUGGUUUGAGCCCUGAAAGAACAUUCACAUGUCUGUACAGAUGGAGACAGUGUGUGGUUCAGCAGGCUAAGCCUCUGUGCAUGUGAUCAGAAGGUUGCUGGUUUGAUCCCUGACAGAACAUUCACAUGUCUGUACAGAUGGGGGCAGUGUGUGGUUCAGCAGGCUAAGCCUCUGUGCAUGUGAUCAGAAGGUUGCUGGUUU
Molecule: long non-coding RNA, 344 nt
Organism: Brienomyrus brachyistius
Lineage: Eukaryota; Metazoa; Chordata; Actinopteri; Osteoglossiformes; Mormyridae
Exons: 3
Source: RefSeq, a predicted model, not a curated record